This 526-nucleotide ribosomal RNA is filed under the name Bacillus sp. WMB6C. RNAcentral's name for it is "SSU rRNA". It matches the Rfam family "Bacterial small subunit ribosomal RNA", at positions 227 to 745 of the family's 1533-position model. The record is from RNAcentral. Lineage: Bacteria; Bacillati; Bacillota; Bacilli; Caryophanales; Bacillaceae.
GGACCCGCGUCGCAUUAGCUAGUUGGUGAGGUAACGGCUCACCAAGGCAACGAUGCGUAGCCGACCUGAGAGGGUGAUCGGCCACACUGGGACUGAGACACGGCCCAGACUCCUACGGGAGGCAGCAGUAGGGAAUCUUCCGCAAUGGACGAAAGUCUGACGCAGCAACGCCGCGUGAGUGAUGAAGGCUUUCGGGUCGUAAAACUCUGUUGUUAGGGAAGAACAAGUGCUAGUUGAAUAAGCUGGCACCUUGACGGUACCUAUCCAGAAAGCCACGGCUAACUACGUGCCAGCAGCCGCGGUAAUACGUAGGUGGAAAGCGUUAUCCGGAAUUAUUGGGCGUAAAGCGCGCGCAGGUGGUUUCUUAAGUCUGAUGUGAAAGCCCACGGCUCAACCGUGGAGGGUCAUUGGAAACUGUGAGACUUGAGGGCAGAAGAGGAAAGUGGAAUUCCAUGUGUAGCGGUGAAAUGCGUAGAGAUAUGGAGGACACCAGUGGCGAAGGCGACUUUCUGGUCUGUAACUGACA